RNAcentral lists this ribosomal RNA (501 nucleotides) under Pseudoalteromonas sp. 80L. RNAcentral describes it as "bacterial SSU rRNA". It matches the Rfam family "Bacterial small subunit ribosomal RNA", at positions 162 to 697 of the family's 1533-position model. Lineage: Bacteria; Pseudomonadati; Pseudomonadota; Gammaproteobacteria; Alteromonadales; Pseudoalteromonadaceae. The record is from RNAcentral.
GCUAAUACCGCAUACGCCCUACGGGGGAAAGAUUUAUUGCUCUAUGAUGAGCCCGCGUUAGAUUAGGUAGUUGGUGGGGUAAUGGCCUACCAAGCCUACGAUCUAUAGCUGGUCUGAGAGGAUGAUCAGCCACACUGGGACUGAGACACGGCCCAGACUCCUACGGGAGGCAGCAGUGGGGAAUAUUGGACAAUGGGCGAAAGCCUGAUCCAGCCAUGCCGCGUGAGUGAAGAAGGCCUUAGGGUUGUAAAACUCUUUCAACUGUGAGGAUGAUGACAGUAGCAGUAGAAGAAGCACCGGCUAACUUCGUGCCAGCAGCCGCGGUAAUACGAAGGGUGCGAGCGUUGUUCGGAAUUACUGGGCGUAAAGGGCGUGUAGGCGGAUUGCAAAGAUAGAGGUGAAAGGCCUGGGCUCAACCUGGGAACUGCCUUUAUAACUUGCAGUCUAGAGAUCGAGAGAGGAUAGCGGAAUUCCUAGUGUAGAGGUGAAAUUCGUAGAUAU